GCAUGUGCACACCCUGCUCAAUUCCACUCUCACACCCCUGUGCACUUACUGUAGGCUAUGGUCGGAUAGCUGACUUCGGUUGGUUUGAAAGCCUUGCUUAUGUUAUUACAAACGCUUCAGUUAAAGAAUGUCAUACCGCGUAUAACGCAUUAAAUACAACUUUCAACAACGGAUCUCUUGGCUCUCGCAUCGAUGAAGAACGCAGCGAAAUGCGAUAAGUAAUGUGAAUUGCAGAAUUCAGUGAAUCAUCGAAUCUUUGAACGCACCUUGCGCUCCUUGGUAUUCCGAGGAGCAUGCCUGUUUGAGUGUCAUGGAAUCAUCAACUUCAAUAGCUUUUGUUAUUGAAGCUUGGACUUGGAGGUCUGUGUCGGCUCGCAAGAGUGGACUCCUCUCAAAUGCAUUAGCGUGAACCUGACGGAUCGCCUUCAGUGUGAUAAUUAUCUGCGCUGUGGUGUGAAGUCAAUUAGUGUUCGAGCUUAUAACCGUCCGCAAGGACAAUUACUUGACAAUCUGACCU
RNAcentral lists this ribosomal RNA (517 nucleotides) under Mycoaciella uda. RNAcentral's name for it is "eukaryotic LSU rRNA". The stretch from base 158 to 311 matches the Rfam family "5.8S ribosomal RNA". The record is from RNAcentral. Lineage: Eukaryota; Fungi; Basidiomycota; Agaricomycetes; Polyporales; Meruliaceae.